This 522-nucleotide ribosomal RNA is filed under the name uncultured bacterium. Its description in RNAcentral is "bacterial SSU rRNA". It matches the Rfam family "Bacterial small subunit ribosomal RNA", at positions 988 to 1509 of the family's 1533-position model. The record is from RNAcentral.
CCAGAGAACUUUCCAGAGGAUGGAUUGGUGCCUUCGGGAACUCUGAGACAGGUGCUGCAUGGCUGUCGUCAGCUCGUGUUGUGAAAUGUUGGGUUAAGUCCCGCAACGAGCGCGACCCUUAUCCUUUGUUGCCAGCGGUUAGGCCGGGAACUCAAAGGAGACUGCCAGUGAUAAACUGGAGGAAGGUGGGGAUGACGUCAAGUCAUCAUGGCCCUUACGAGUAGGGCUACACACGUGCUACAAUGGCGCAUACAAAGAGAAGCGACCUCGCGAGAGCAAGCGGACCUCAUAAAGUGCGUCGUAGUCCGGAUUGGAGUCUGCAACUCGACUCCAUGAAGUCGGAAUCGCUAGUAAUCGUGGAUCAGAAUGCCACGGUGAAUACGUUCCCGGGCCUUGUACACACCGCCCGUCACACCAUGGGAGUGGGUUGCAAAAGAAGUAGGUAGCUUAACCUUCGGGAGGGCGCUUACCACUUUGUGAUUCAUGACUGGGGUGAAGUCGUAACAAGGUAAGCGUAGUGCU